This 441-nucleotide ribosomal RNA is filed under the name uncultured bacterium. RNAcentral describes it as "partial 16S ribosomal RNA". It matches the Rfam family "Bacterial small subunit ribosomal RNA", at positions 339 to 795 of the family's 1533-position model. The record is from RNAcentral.
CUACGGGGGGCUGCAGUGGGGAAUAUUGGGCAAUGGUCUCCCUCCUUCCCCAUCCCCUCCGCGUGAGGGAAGAAGGUUUUCGGAUUGUAAACCUCUGUCCUUGGGGACGAAGAAGUGACGGUACCCAAGGAGGAAGCUCCGGCUAACUACGUGCCAGCAGCCGCGGUAAUACGUAGGGAGCAAGCGUUGUCCGGAAUUACUGGGCGUAAAGGGUGCGUAGGCGGCAUAUUAAGUCAGGUGUGAAAUACUCGGGCUCAACCCGGGGGCUGCAUUUGAAACUGAUAUGCUUGAGUGUGAGAGAGGAAAGUGGAAUUCCUAGUGUAGCGGUGGAAUGCGUAGAUAUUAGGAGGAACACCAGUGGCGAAGGCGACUUUCUGGCUCAUAACUGACGCUGAGGCACGAAAGCGUGGGGAGCAAACAGGAUUAGAUACCCCAGUAGUC